GAACGCCCCGCUCACAGAGCCAGUAUAAGACCGGCGGCGCCUUGCAACGGGUUUGGCACAGAUUUCCGCUCUCAAGCAGGACAGAUACAAAGUAUAGACAGUAUCCCAGGGCUCCUCAGAAUCUUUGCUUCUUGUGCGAUUAAACGAAGAUGAAGGUCUAUAAUGGUUAUACCACAAGAAACCCCCAAAGGAAUACACCUGUUUUCCUUCCCGUUACUGUGACACCAGAAGCCAUAUCAUGCGGAGUAUACAUCUAAUUGAUAAACCCGGAGGGUAUGACGGGUCACCAUAACAUUACUACAGAUCACAUCACGGGGAGACAAACUUCAAGGUUCAUAUCUCAGAAAGGAUCUGAGUCCUGAGGCUGCUCCUCCUUCUAAGUCCUGAGGCUGCUCCUCCCUCUGAGUCCUGAGGCUGCUCCUCCCUCUGAGUCCUGAGGCUGCUCCUCCCUCUGAGUCCUGAGGCUGCUCCUCCCUCUGAGUCCUGAGGCUGCUCCUCCUUCUGAGUCCUGAGGAUGCUCCUCCCUCUGAGUCCUGAGGCUGCUCCUCCCUCUGAGUCCUGAGGCUGCUCCUCCCUCUGAGUCCUGAGGCUGCUCCUCCCUCUGAGUCCUGAGGCUGCUCCUCCUUCUGAGUCCUGAGGCUGCUCCUCCUUCUGAGUCCUGAGGCUGCUCCUCCUUCUGAGUCCUGAGUCUGCUCCUCCCUCUGAGUCCCGAGUCUGCUCCUCCCUCUGAGUCCCGAGUCUGCUCCUCCCUCUGAGUUCCGAGGCUGCUCCUCUCUCUGAGUCCUGAGGCUACUCCUCCCUGCUCCCAAGCCCUCCCCAGGUGCAGUGAUGAUGAUGACGAUGAGGGGUCUUACCUGAUGAAGGGUCUGGAGAUGGCCAGGACUGUACGGAUGAACCAGGAUGGGUGAGCAAUGACCAGCCACUUCAGAUUCUUCUUCAACCUGCAAAGGACAUUAAAAUACCAUUUACAUUAACUUUAUGUUCAUACAGCAUAGGUUACACAUGUAUAAGCACAUUAUAAUCACGACAUUACACAUCUAUAAGCACAAUAUAAACAUGACAUUACACAUCUAUAAACACAUCAUAAACAAGACAUUACACAUCUAUAAGCACAUUAUAAACAUGACAUUACACAUCUAUAAACACAUCAUCAACAUGACGUUACACAUCAAUAAGCACAUUAUAAUCAUGACAUAACACAUCGAUUAUAAUCAUGACAUAACACAUCUAUAAACACAUCAUAAACAUGACAUUACACAUCUAUAAACACAUCAUAAACAUGCCAUUACACAUCUAUAAGCACAUUAUAAUCAUGCCAUUACACAUCUAUAAAAACAUUAUAAUCAUGACAUUACACAUCUAUAAACACACCAUAAAUUAAAUUAACCUAACACAACAUUUAAAGGUGCAUUCCGUAAAUUAUAAUUUACCUCCUGUUGAUGGUGUGGUAGCACCUCU
Long non-coding RNA from Salmo salar (Atlantic salmon), 1458 nucleotides. RefSeq lists it as uncharacterized. NCBI's taxonomy places the organism in Eukaryota, Metazoa, Chordata, Actinopteri, Salmoniformes, Salmonidae. The record is from RefSeq and is a predicted model, not a curated record.